RNAcentral lists this transfer RNA (73 nucleotides) under Escherichia coli. Its description in RNAcentral is "tRNA-Lys". It matches the Rfam family "tRNA". From Rfam's summary of the family: Transfer RNA (tRNA) molecules are approximately 80 nucleotides in length. Their secondary structure includes four short double-helical elements and three loops (D, anti-codon, and T loops). The record is from RNAcentral. RNAcentral also lists the same sequence under 1 other name. Lineage: Bacteria; Pseudomonadati; Pseudomonadota; Gammaproteobacteria; Enterobacterales; Enterobacteriaceae.
GAGCCAUUAGCUCAGUUGGUAGAGCAUCUGACUUUUAAUCAGAGGGUCGCUGGUUCGAACCCAGCACGGCUCA